GGUUUUCUAUUUACUCUGGUGAUAGAGUUUUCCUUUUGAAUUAAAGUUUCUUAAUAAAAACAAAAAUGGAGUUGCUAAGCAACAUACACUGAUGUUAGAGUUGGCAGAAAUGGCCAAAGGACCGGGGCAUGGAUGAAAUCACACUCCUGGGUUGCUCCAAAAUGUUCAGUAAAAUGUGUCUCUAUUAGCUACUUGGGGAUGUGGAACUUGGAGAUGUGAAAAGCAGAAGAAGAAGCCCACGAUGUGGUUGGAUGGACAGCUGAGUUGGGGGAAAUCAUGCUGUUUUUAGCACUGGUAUAAGCAGACAAUUGAAUCCUAGACUUUGGGGACGGGGUCUGCCUGGGAACUUGUUUCCAGGAGUGUGACUGAAGUGAAGGGCCAGUCAGAGGAGGUGCCGCAACCCC
RNAcentral lists this long non-coding RNA (404 nucleotides) under Homo sapiens (human). RNAcentral describes it as "non-protein coding lnc-SULF2-8:1". Lineage: Eukaryota; Metazoa; Chordata; Mammalia; Primates; Hominidae. The record is from RNAcentral.